Molecule: transfer RNA, 595 nt
Filed under: Acinetobacter baylyi
Lineage: Bacteria; Pseudomonadati; Pseudomonadota; Gammaproteobacteria; Moraxellales; Moraxellaceae
Description: 16S-23S ribosomal RNA intergenic spacer
Rfam family: tRNA (bases 61-134)
Source: RNAcentral
ACGAAAGAUUGAUUGAUUGGUAAGAAUCCACAACAAGUUGUUCUUCUAAGAUGUAUCUGAGGGUCUGUAGCUCAGUUGGUUAGAGCACACGCUUGAUAAGCGUGGGGUCACAAGUUCAAGUCUUGUCAGACCCACCAAGUCUACGACUGAAAGAUACAUAAAUGAUAUAAGCUGGGGACUUAGCUUAGUUGGUAGAGCGCCUGCUUUGCACGCAGGAGGUCAGGAGUUCGACUCUCCUAGUCUCCACCACGUACUUUAAAGAGUACGGCUAAGGUGUAGAUUAUAGAACUUAGUAAAAAGAAGAUCAUGAGAUCUUGUUUUUAUUAAGUUCUGUGAUUUAUCACAGUUUAGUGUGAUCUGACGAAGACACAUUAAUUCAUUAACAGAUUGGAAAAUAUUGAGUCUGAAAUAAAUUGUUCACUCAAACACAAACAAAGCAAUUUUGAAUGUGAAUGAGAACUAGCAAAUUAACUGAAUCAAGCGUUUUGGUAUAUGAAUUUAGAUUGAAGCUGUACGGUGAUUCAAUUCACAGUACUUCAAACUGUAAUGUUGAUAAUGCUACUUUGUAGGCAUUAGCGACUGUUUGGGGUCGUAU